RNAcentral lists this ribosomal RNA (465 nucleotides) under Vreelandella stevensii. Its description in RNAcentral is "partial 16S ribosomal RNA". It matches the Rfam family "Bacterial small subunit ribosomal RNA", at positions 338 to 795 of the family's 1533-position model. Lineage: Bacteria; Pseudomonadati; Pseudomonadota; Gammaproteobacteria; Oceanospirillales; Halomonadaceae. The record is from RNAcentral.
CCUACGGGGGGCUGCAGUGGGGAAUAUUGGACAAUGGGGGGAACCCUGAUCCAGCCAUGCCGCGUGUGUGAAGAAGGCCCUCGGGUUGUAAAGCACUUUCAGUGAGGAAGAACGCCUGGUGGUUAAUACCCAUCAGGAAAGACAUCACUCACAGAAGAAGCACCGGCUAACUCCGUGCCAGCAGCCGCGGUAAUACGGAGGGUGCGAGCGUUAAUCGGAAUUACUGGGCGUAAAGCGCGCGUAGGUGGCUUGAUAAGCCGGUUGUGAAAGCCCCGGGCUCAACCUGGGAACGGCAUCCGGAACUGUCAAGCUAGAGUGCAGGAGAGGAAGGUAGAAUUCCCGGUGUAGCGGUGAAAUGCGUAGAGAUCGGGAGGAAUAGCAGUGGCGAAGGCGGCCUUCUGGACUGACACUGACACUGAGGUGCGAAAGCGUGGGUAGCAAACAGGAUUAGAUACCCGAGUAGUC